Molecule: long non-coding RNA, 787 nt
Organism: Equus asinus (donkey)
Lineage: Eukaryota; Metazoa; Chordata; Mammalia; Perissodactyla; Equidae
Source: Ensembl
GGAGAAGUAAGCUUUAAGCUGGAGGUCAGGUAAGAGGGGGAGCUUGGCUGGAUGUGAGGCAGAAGAAGCAGGCCUCCAGGUCCCAGGGUCAGGACUAGGGUGCAGGUUGGCCCUGAACCCCAGCAGGUGGUAUCUGCCAGUCCAAAGUCUGUGAGCACCCCACCAAAAGGAGGUGUCUCCAGCAGGCUGUUAACCUUGGAUCACACAGACUCAGAAGGCAACAGCUGCUUGCCUUGCCUGAAAAUGCCUUGUGAUGGUGACUCCAGGACACAGCAAGUCCCUUCAAGGAGCACCAAGGAUAGUAUGAAAGCACAGCCAUGGGAGGACUCAGAUGGGAUGCAGUGAAGACAGCCAUGGGAGACCUCAGGCAAGGCUGUGUGAUAGCACAGCCAUAAGAGACCACAGGCAAAGGUCACAGUCUCUUCUUGGCUAUUACCACUCACCAAGGGCUCCUCCAUGUCCAGAGAUGUCUGGAAAACUGGCAAACUAGAGAACUGAAGAAGAGAAACAUGUCCAAUGCACAGGCUACAUCCAUGAUCCUGGUAGGGACAGAAGAGGGUUAUAACAAAUGAUUCAGGAAUCUCUCACAACACAAGAAAAACUGCCCCUUCCCCACAUACAGCGACAGAGGGGGCUCUCAACUUCCGCCUGUCUCCUUUAGGCCAGCAUCAUCUUUUACAGACCCCUCCUGCCUAUAUUAAUGACUACUAAAAAAUGACAGAACAUAUAAAUAAAAGGAGAUAAGCAAAUUGGUCCAGUAGAGCUUGAACUCUUCAAAGAUGGAAGG